This 20-nucleotide microRNA is filed under the name Ciona intestinalis (vase tunicate). Its description in RNAcentral is "cin-miR-4052-3p". Lineage: Eukaryota; Metazoa; Chordata; Ascidiacea; Phlebobranchia; Cionidae. The record is from miRBase by way of RNAcentral.
UCACUUGAAACCCAGGACCU